AGGGCACCACCAGGAGUGGAGCCUGCGGCUUAAUUUGACUCAACACGGGAAAACUUACCCGGCCCGGACACUGGAAGGAUUGACAGAUUGAGAGCUCUUUCUUGAUUCAGUGGGUGGUGGUGCAUGGCCGUUCUUAGUUGGUGGAGCGAUUUGUCUGGUUAAUUCCGACAACGAACGAGACUCUAGCCUACUAAAUAGACUGUUCAGCUUUAUAGCCGGAAUCACUGGGCGUGUAGCUCUCCGCAAGGGGGGUUGCAUGUUCGGCUCUGGUGACGUUGGCAGUGCUUCUUAGAGGGACAGGCGGCGGUUCAGCCGCACGAAACAGAGCAAUAACAGGUCUGUGAUGCCCUUAGAUGUCCGGGGCUGCACGCGCGCUACACUGAAGUGAUCAGCGUGCAAUUUACGUUUGGUGAUCUGUCAAGAUUGCCCAACCCGUUGAACCUUCGUCGUGAUUGGGAUAGGGGAUUGUAAUUAUUCCCCUUGAACGAGGAAUUCCCAGUAAGCGCAAGUCAUAAGCUU
This 519-nucleotide ribosomal RNA is filed under the name uncultured eukaryote. Its description in RNAcentral is "bacterial SSU rRNA". It matches the Rfam family "Eukaryotic small subunit ribosomal RNA", at positions 1161 to 1637 of the family's 1831-position model. The record is from RNAcentral.